RNAcentral lists this ribosomal RNA (497 nucleotides) under uncultured bacterium. Its description in RNAcentral is "partial 16S ribosomal RNA". It matches the Rfam family "Bacterial small subunit ribosomal RNA", at positions 28 to 507 of the family's 1533-position model. The record is from RNAcentral.
GAUGAACGCUGGCGGCGUGCCUAAUACAUGCAAGUCGAGCGAACAGAUAAGGAGCUUGCUCCUUUGACGUUAGCGGCGGACGGGUGAGUAACACGUGGGUAACCUACCUAUAAGACUGGGAUAACUUCGGGAAACCGGAGCUAAUACCGGAUAACAUUUGGAACCGCAUGGUUCUAAAGUGAAAGAUGGUUUUGCUAUCACUUAUAGAUGGACCCGCGCCGUAUUAGCUAGUUGGUAAGGUAACGGCUUACCAAGGCAACGAUACGUAGCCGACCUGAGAGGGUGAUCGGCCACACUGGAACUGAGACACGGUCCAGACUCCUACGGGAGGCAGCAGUAGGGAAUCUUCCGCAAUGGGCGAAAGCCUGACGAAGCAACGCCGCGUGAGUGAUGAAGGGUUUCGGCUCGUAAAACUCUGUUAUUAGGGAAGAACAAAUGUGUAAGUAACUGUGCACGUCUUGACGGUACCUAAUCAGAAAGCCACGGCUAACUACGUG